Molecule: long non-coding RNA, 1402 nt
Organism: Raphanus sativus (radish)
Lineage: Eukaryota; Viridiplantae; Streptophyta; Magnoliopsida; Brassicales; Brassicaceae
Exons: 2
Source: RefSeq, a predicted model, not a curated record
CCGUCCGUUCUAGACGCUUUGAAUUAUUACUUAGCUGAGAAAAUCUUUUUAAAAACAAAAAAAAAUUCACCGGGAACUUUUAAGGCAAAUUAACCAUGGUUAGUUUUUUACCCCUGUGUGGAGAGGGGGUUAAAUGUCUCUGAGUAAGUGCUGAUGAAGCAGAAAGAGAUAGGAACAAGAGACUAGAAAAGAAGAGCUUCCAUGCGAGAGACCUUCCUGAGUCGACUCGGAACGAGUUGGCUAUUCUCUCAUAAUCUCUCCUCUACUGUAUUCGGUUUUCGAGCUCCCUCCCUCCCUCCCUCUCCGUUGGUGUCAUUUUCGUUUGUUGCAGAUUGUUGUGUUAUCUGGAUUUUAACUAUGGAAGCUCGUCUUGUGGAUUUCGUUUGGUUUCAUUGGUCUUGGAUUUAAGCAACCUGUCUUAGGAGGAAGAAGAAAGGGACUGACUUUCGCAUUAGAGCGAGGCUGUGACUUCUCUGGUUUGAUCUCCACAAUUCAUGUCACGUAAACUCGACAACAGUCCUGUUCAGACACAAAAUGGCAGUUUCGCUUCUAAAGAGCAGCCCCUUGACCGGAGAUUUUAACAAGAUGGGGAUGUAGCCUAGGCGUGUUUUUGUCCAAACUGAGACUCGUUGUGUACUGGGGUUGGAGCUGGAUCACACGCAGCAGUGAUAACGCGCAUGGGACGUCCAGCUUCCCUGUUUCAGCUUUGCACCGUAUAGGGAUUCUUGAUAUUAGAAUCUUGAAGAAUACGGACAGACACUCAGGGAACCGGAACCUUCUGGUUAAGAAGCUGGAUGGUGUGGGGAUGUUUGGUCAAGUGGAGCUGAUUCCGAUCGAUCACGGUCUUUGCUUGCCGGAGAAUCUUGAGGAUCUUUACUUUGAGUGGAUUCAUUGGCCACAGGCGUCGAUCCCGUUCUCUGAAGAGGAGAUGAAGUACAUAGCAAGUCGAGACCCUUUUGAAGAUUGCGAGAUGUUGAGAAGGGAGCGGAGGCUAGUCUCCUUGUUUUAGUUCUCUGCACGAUUCUACUGAUUAUGGUUUAUGUUUGGCUGAAAUUGGUGAGAUGAUGACUAGAGAGGUUCGUGCUGGAGACGAGGAGCCUAGUGAGACAAAGCGCAAGGCCUUAACUUUAGGACAGGAUCUGAGGCAGAGGCUGGGAACUUCGUGUCAGUUUUGAAAUGUCAGAGAGACUGAAGGGCUUGUCUUAUAGACAGAACUGGUGGAGAAACUUGUUAAAACCCUCACGGAUCUUGUUGGUUCCUGCUGUCUCGUUUAAAGCAUGUAAACCCUCUUUAUGUUUUAUGAAUCACUUUGUAGAUUAGAGAAAAAAGGGAUGAAAAAAAGAAAGCUUAGUUUGGUAAACAUUGAAGUUAAUCGUCUUCGACGAGGAUCAUUUUCAUUUCA